Long non-coding RNA from Cyprinus carpio carpio, 4020 nucleotides. NCBI's taxonomy places the organism in Eukaryota, Metazoa, Chordata, Actinopteri, Cypriniformes, Cyprinidae. The record is from Ensembl.
AGAUCUUUUUCAACAAGUUUAUUAGCAGUGACAAAGAUUCUUGAGACAUAAUGUAACCCCCUCUUCAUAUCCACUGUAGGAGAUUCAGAGAGAGCAACAUAAAAUGAAAUAUUAAUUCGAACUUUUAACAGUCAAAACAUGGCACAACUGAAGAUUGUUGGGGGGUAAUGGGGGUGUAGGGACAGGGGAAAAGGAAAAGCAAGAGUUUUUUUUUCACGUUCUGAUGUGAUUCCGUUUAAUAUAUCGCUUAACACAGGCACCCUGAACUUGAAAAGUUCGCAAUAUUAACUUUGCAUAUAAUUGAGCGUAUGAAAGAAGACAAAUACACAUGCUUGCACACGAACACACACAUAUGCAUCCAAACGCAAAAAAACAGUUGAGUUAUCAGGACAGGACAAAAAUCAUUCAUACAUCAAGAAAACACAUGAAAUUUUAAUAUGCCAACAAAGAUGCAUUUUCUCGGUACAGAUUUCGCAGUCAAACACACCAUUUAAGUAUCUCUGUACCUCUUUCCCAUUCGUACGUGCUCUCAUUGCUUUAAACACUAAGGGGAGCUAUUUAAGAUGUAUGUAAAUAAUUUAUAUUGCAAUUAUAUAAUUUGUGGGGUAGUAAGUGCUUAUUUAAAUUGAGGAAAUUAAGCUAAUGUGCAACCCCCCAAAAUAUAAACUCUGUUCUGUUUGCAUUCUGUGCAUAGAACCUCUAUAUGUGCAUUUGACCCCUGGAGUUGAGUUUUUUUUUUUAAACAAAGACCAGGUUCAGUUCAUUCUGCUGACAGCGUUUACAAAGACGUAACUGAGUUAGGGAGACAGCUCACCCAAAAUCUGAAUUCUGCCAUUAUUUACACACCCUCACGUUAUUCCUAACUGGAUUAAACUGUUUUGGUCUAUACAGAGAAAGUCAGUGGGGUCCGAAACAGACGAGACAUUCACGAUACGCUGGAACAGGGUCAGAAAGUCUUUGGAAUGACAUGAGGUUGAGUGAAUGAUGACAGGAUCUUAAUUUUUAUGUGAACGAUCCCCCUUUAAAGGGAAAUUGGGAUACCGGGACAAUGCAUGUUCACAGAGGUAUUUCAUAAUUAACUUAAUGUAAUAACAGAUGGUUAUAAAUUAUGCCUACAUCAGUAACUCCUUAAGCAAAUCCCUUGGAUAACCAAAAAAAAAAAAAAAAAAACCUGUUAAUAACUACAAUAAAACUCAAGUGAAGCAAUGAAGAGAUGUGCAUCUAAAAAUCCAAGAAAUUAGCUAAUUAUCAAUCGCAGGAUUUCUCUACAUUGUCAAAGCUUGUAAGUGGAAUCUAAAUGGAAUUAGAAAAGAUGAAGCAGAAUUUAACAACCGUACAUCCGUUUCAUCGACAGCUGCAAUAUCUUUUGAACCAAAACAUUGAACAGACGUUGGAUACCUCAAGAACAGAAACAAAUUAAGAACUAUCAUGAAACAUCCCACGUAUUCUGAAGACAGACCACAUUGGAAACCAUUACAUGCUGCAUUUAAAACAUAAAAAAAAAAAAAAAAAAAAACUCUUGCAAAGGAAAGACAUACAGAUACGUAGUGUGGUUAACGUCUUCAAUGUGUACUUAAAUCUUUUCACCUGACAGUGUUUCAUGGUCAUGUACAGAAAACAUUGAUGCCAAAUGAUACCUGUAAAGAAACAAGCAUUGGCUUUCAGUCAAAAAUUAAAUCCCUCAAAAGGUUACAAUUUAAAAAAAAAAAACAGCUGGUACAAACAUGGGACGUUCUUUUUUUAUAUUUGGCAAUAACACUGUUGGUGCGUUUUUUGUUAGAUAGAACACUGCCCUAAUUCUACCUGAGUGUCUUUUUUAUUUUCUUUCCUUUUUCACUUUUUUUUUUACAUUUUCUUUUGUUUAUAUUUAUUUUCUUUUGAGAUUGCGGACCGAUGGUCCUUAGGUAGAGGUUAAAGUUAGUAGCCUAUGAUUAAUUACUAGAAUUUCAAAUAUGUACUGAUAUGUCAAUGUUUAAGGAAAUACAAUUCAAGAACAUAAUACGUAAAGUGCUACUGAUUCUUAUAAAUCAAUUAAUCUGUGAAAUGAUAAAACAGAGGAUAGACUGUAACUUUAGAAUGCAUUUUCUGGCAUUAGAAAGAGAAACAUUUACACAACGGCAGAAUUCCUGUCAACGCCGGUUCUACUGAUGAGGCUCAUAUGUGCUUUAGCAAGCGCUUAACCGAUAAGCAUGGAAACCCAGGUACAAAUUAAAACAUACAAGAAAUAAAAAGCAUAAAAGUGUGAUUGUGGUGCUCAAUAAAAAAUAAAAAAACACUAGGGGCUUCUAGUCUCUUGAGUGAAAUAAAAAGUCUGGAUGUUUUGCCAGCGACUGCUCUCUAGGUUCCCUCUAAAUUGUGGUGUAGUCCCAAAUGAAGCAAAAGUAGUCGCUACUUCCUUUUUCUAGGCAAAAACAAAACCCUAUUUCGAAAAGCAGCUCUACAGAACUUUAACGAAAUGAAAUUAAGCCUCCAUAAUGUACCUAGAGCAUUGAAGCUAAAGCAACUUUGUGGUGUGGCACAUCUUAUCGAUUAGUUCUGGGUUCUAACUGCUACUUAAAAAUUAAAAACAUAAAACACUCAAGAUAAAAGAGUAUAGCGUGAUCUCCACCCUCCGUUUACACACUCACACAAUGAGCAAGAGACUCGAACGGCUGUCAGGUGACAGAAGCAUGAAGAGACGACAGUAAGACCAUUGAACGAUAGCACUAUGGACUCUUCCAAAAGAGGACGCACAGAGCAGCAUACUGCACAUGCACACUACGGGGCGUGUGGUUCCCAAUCCGAGUGUACCUCAUAACCUGCCCUUGGAGUUUUUAAGUAUUUCAAAGAAAAGAAAAAGAAGAAAAAAAAAUGAAGUGGAGACGCGUCACUAACAGGACUGAUCCAAACUUGUCCAGAAAUUAAAUUAAGACAAUUAUUUAUUCCCAAAGGCUUGAACUAACCACCCCCCACACAUAAAUGGAGUUUGAUUCCCCUGAAUCUCCAAAAAACAAAAAAGCCAUGUAGUUCCUCUGGCCACAGUAUGUUAAUUCACUGUAGCGCGACACUCUUCGGUUCUGUGCCCAAAUGAAUUCAGUGUGACCACUGCAUGAUUAUUUGAAUUCAAGAGGGCACACAUGGUGACAUGCUUUCCUCCUGGACACUCUCUUAGGUCUGUGAGUACUUAAAAGAGAAGCUUCCGCCCAACCAAAUGUCAUGACAGGGUUAUCAUGAGUGUUUGACGAGUGAGUUGUAUGUCCCCAAAGUCAUUGAAAUUGUCUUCAGCAACAUAUCCGCAUUAGAGUUGAGAUCCACAGCUCCUGUUCUUCCAUUCUAAUAUUCUAAAACCAGCUAACCUGUUUCCCUUAAGCGCACUCUGUUCCUCUGCGCUCAGCCUUGACUGCUGACGGGUAACAAGGUCCUUUCUAAACCAUUGGAUUAGUUCUGAUUCAGGAUGUUCAGAGGCAGCAACCAUGUUCCUCAAGCACAUCUUUUUGCAGCAGAGUUCAUCUGAGAUAUAGUGUCCAGACACAGCUUCACUGAGCAGGUCCGUCCCAUGACUCACUGUAGAGGACUACUCGAUUUGGAUCUGCGAGAAAGUGAGAAAGAUGAAUGUAGGUGAGAGCUGGGAACUCUAAAACCACAAACAAAAAUGAUAUGGGAAGGGUUGAGGGAUGUGAGAUUUGGGUUGAAAUAUCUAAAUGCUGAAUCAUUUAAGGGUUUAAUCACAUGCUGAGGCAAGAGUUGUCUAUAAGUAUGUCAACAAACACAAGAGGUAAAUGGCAGCUUACCUUGUUUUUGCAAAUUCAAAAAAUAUUCCAUUUCUGCAAAGAAGAGAGAUGAAAGUUUAGUGUAAAAAUACCCAAGUACAGCCACAAUUCAAUCAAGAUCUGUCCUUUUUAUUUAACUUGAAAGAAACUCACACUAAUAGAAUAACUUCAAAAUACUGCUGUCUUGUUGCUUUAUAUAACCACACUGAAAUAACAUUUAUAUAUAUUCAGUCGCACAGUGUAAUUUGAGUGUAAGAGUAACAACCUUAUU